RNAcentral lists this ribosomal RNA (497 nucleotides) under uncultured bacterium. RNAcentral's name for it is "partial 16S ribosomal RNA". It matches the Rfam family "Bacterial small subunit ribosomal RNA", at positions 28 to 507 of the family's 1533-position model. The record is from RNAcentral.
GACGAACGCUGGCGGCGUGCCUAAUACAUGCAAGUUGAGCGAUGAAGAUUGGUGCUUGCACCAAUUUGAAGAGCAGCGAACGGGUGAGUAACGCGUGGGGAAUCUGCCUUUGAGCGGGGGACAACAUUUGGAAACGAAUGCUAAUACCGCAUAACAACUUUAAACAUAAGUUUUAAGUUUGAAAGAUGCAAUUGCAUCACUCAAAGAUGAUCCCGCGUUGUAUUAGCUAGUUGGUGAGGUAAAGGCUCACCAAGGCGAUGAUACAUAGCCGACCUGAGAGGGUGAUCGGCCACAUUGGGACGGAGACACGGCCCAAACUCCUACGGGAGGCAGCAGUAGGGAAUCGUCGGCAAUGGACGAAAGUCUGACCGAGCAACGCCGCGUGAGUGAAGAAGGUUUUCGGAUCGGAAAACUCUGUUGGUAGAGAAGAACGUUGGUGAGAGUGGAAAGCUCAUCAAGUGACGGUAACUACCCAGAAAGGGACGGCUAACUACGUG